Molecule: small nuclear RNA, 157 nt
Filed under: Peromyscus maniculatus bairdii (prairie deer mouse)
Lineage: Eukaryota; Metazoa; Chordata; Mammalia; Rodentia; Cricetidae
Description: U1 spliceosomal RNA (ENSPEMG00000006114.2)
Rfam family: U1 spliceosomal RNA
About the family: U1 is a small nuclear RNA (snRNA) component of the spliceosome (involved in pre-mRNA splicing). Its 5' end forms complementary base pairs with the 5' splice junction, thus defining the 5' donor site of an intron.
Source: RNAcentral
GUACUUAUCUGGCAGGGAAAAUACCAUGAUCACCUUCCCAGGGCGAGGCUUAUCCAUUGCACUGUGGAUGUGCUGAGUCCUGUGAUUUCUUCAAAUGUGGGAAAUUCAACUGCAUAAUUUGUGGUAAUGAGGCACUGUGUUCAUCUUCUCCCCUUAA